UUCCGGUUGAUCCUGCCGGACCCGACUGCUAUCAGAGUGGGACUAAGCCAAGCGAGUCAACGUAGCAAUACGUGGCAUACGGCUCAGUAACACGUAGUCAACAUGCCCAGGGGACGAGGAUAACCUCGGGAAACUGAGGAUAAACCUCGAUAGGCCAUGAUUUCUGGAAUGAUUCUUGGCUCAAACCUAUAUGGCCCCUGGAUUGGACUGCGGCCGAUCAGGCUGUUGGUGAGGUAAUGGCCCACCAAACCUAUUACCGGUACGGGCUCUGAGAGGAGGAGCCCGGAGAUGGGCACUGAGACAAGGGCCCAGGCCCUAUGGGGCGCAGCAGGCGCGAAACCUCUGCAAUAGGCGAAAGCUUGACAGGGUUACUCUGAGUGGUUUCCGCUAAGGGAAUCUUUUGGCACCUCUAAAAAUGGUGCAGAAUAAGGGGUGGGCAAGUCUGGUGUCAGCCGCCGCGGUAAUACCAGCACCCCGAGUGGUCGGGACGAUUAUUGGGCCUAAAGCAUUCGUAGCCGGUCCUGCAAGUCUUCCGUUAAAUCCAGCUGCUCAACAGAUGGGCUGCGGGAGAUACUACAGGGCUAGGAGGCGGGAGAGGCAAGCGGUACUUUAUGGGUAGGGGUAAAAUCCGCUGAUCCAUAGAAGACCACCAGUGGCGAAGGCGGCUUGCCAGAACGCGCUCGACGGUGAGGGAUGAAAGCUGGGGGAGCAAACCGGAUUAGAUACCCGGGUAGUCCCAG
Molecule: ribosomal RNA, 740 nt
Filed under: uncultured archaeon
Lineage: Archaea
Description: bacterial SSU rRNA
Rfam family: Archaeal small subunit ribosomal RNA
Source: RNAcentral